This 745-nucleotide ribosomal RNA is filed under the name uncultured bacterium. Its description in RNAcentral is "bacterial SSU rRNA". It matches the Rfam family "Bacterial small subunit ribosomal RNA", at positions 8 to 747 of the family's 1533-position model. The record is from RNAcentral.
AGAGUUUGAUCCUGGCUCAGAGUGAACGCUGGCGGCGUGGAUUAGGCAUGCAAGUCGAACGCGAAACCACCCCUUCGGGGGUGGGAGUAGAGUGGCGAAAGGGUGAGUAACGCUUGGAUGACCUGCCUUCGAGACGGGGAUAACAGCCCGAAAGGGCUGCUAAUACCCGAUGGCCCGCACGGGAUGCGUCCCUUGCGGUAAAUGGUGCUUCCGCUCGAAGAGGGGUCCAAGUCCUAUCAGCUUGUUGGUGAGGUAACGGCUCACCAAGGCGAUGACGGGUAGCCGGACUGAGAGGUUGGCCGGCCACAUGGGGGCUGAGACACUGCCCUGACUCCUACGGGAGGCUGCAGUCGAGAAUCUUCCGCAAUGGGCGCAAGCCUGACGGAGCGACGCCGCGUGGAGGACGAAGGCCCUCGGGUUGUAAACUCCUGUCACAUGUUAAGAACCGGACGGGCUCGACCCGUUCCUGACAAAGGCAUGAAAGGAAGUCACGGCUAACUUCGUGCCAGCAGCCGCGGUAAGACGAAGGUGGCGAGCGUUACUCGGAUUCACUGGGCAUAAAGCGCGCGUAGGCGGCCCGUUAAGUCGGAGGUGAAAGCCCAGGGCUCAACCCUGGAAUUGCCCCCGAUACUGCCGGGCUUGAGUGCAGGAAGGGUGAAUGGAACUCCAGGUGUAGCGGUGAAAUGCGUAGAUAUCUGGAGGAACACCGGAUGCGAAGGCGAUUCACUGGACUGCAACUGACGCU